UGUUUUUUUACGUUUUUGGUAUCACGUUUUAUGCUUUUCGAAUGAGAUUUUAAUGAAUGUAAAUGACAUAAAGGGGCCUCAAAGAUUACUGUCACAAGAGAAAUGAUUGGAUAUAGAUUUCAAAACUUUACCGAAGAGG
This is a long non-coding RNA of Sitophilus oryzae (rice weevil), 139 nucleotides long. RefSeq lists it as uncharacterized. Lineage: Eukaryota; Metazoa; Arthropoda; Insecta; Coleoptera; Curculionidae. The record is from RefSeq and is a predicted model, not a curated record. The transcript is spliced from 3 exons.